Molecule: long non-coding RNA, 880 nt
Organism: Aplysia californica (California sea hare)
Lineage: Eukaryota; Metazoa; Mollusca; Gastropoda; Aplysiida; Aplysiidae
Exons: 2
Source: RefSeq, a predicted model, not a curated record
CGACACUUAUAUGAUCUUUUUGAGUUGCUAGCGCCCUAAAACCCUUACUAAUACCCCCAAAAAUUGAUCAUUAAGGAUGCCUUUCCUCGUAUUUCGUUCACAGUGCGGCCGAAUCUCUACGAUAGUCGUGGAUGCUGUGCUGGGAGGUGCAACGAUUGUGUUACAGCCUGCCUCCAUUUGUGGGCUGAUUGGCGUUUGCGACGCGGACCUAGUCCCCGUGCACUACAACGUGACCUACCCAGACCCACCCAAGAGGAACACAGUCCUCCGCUUCUCUCCUGAGAACUGAGACAGACACGUCAAGAGCUGGCAGGUCGUGUCCGCCCACACCGCACACCAACCCGAGAACCUACUGGGCCAUUCGUUGUCUUGAGUCCAACUUUUUCGGUCGUUACAUCAAUCUAUCGUCACCUCAUGAAGUCUAAAUUGUUGGCCGGCUGUUCAAAAGCAUCUAGCCCAAAUAUUUUUUUCUUUUAUGUACAUCUUUCUUUAUUUUUCUUUAAAUUAAAAUUUCUUUAAUUGAGGUAUUUGUUACAUUGUGUGCUCGUGAAAUAUUUUGUCGAAAUUAAAUUCUAAAUGUAAAAAAAAAAGCGUUUCGUUUCUGUUUGCUGGUUUUUUUUGGUCGUUUUUUUUCUGUUCUGUUUGAUUUUUUUGUUUUGGGGUUGUUUUUCUCUUGAAAAAAAUAUUGCUUCCUGGGCUUAAAACAUUUGAGCAGCUCGCCGACGAGGCCUAGAUGACGGAAAGGCAAAUGGAAGAUCCCCUGUUAGAUCCAUGCAAACCUGCUCGUUGUUCAUCUGUCAAAGGGUUUUCCAUAAUGUGUUUAUGUCAGAAUUUAGAGUACCACGUAAUGAUUCACAAUAAACGCCUUUGACUGUUGAUA